GCACAGUAAACGAUGAAUACUUGCUUUCGGCGAUACAAUGUCGGAGGCAAAGCGAAAGCGAUAAGUAUUCCACCUGGGGAGUACGCCGGCAACGGUGAAACUCAAAGGAAUUGACGGGAGCCCGCACAAGCGGAGGAACAUGUGGUUUAAUUCGAUGCUACGCGAGGAACCUUACCCGGGCUUGAAAGUUAGCGACGGAGGUGGAAACACUUCUUCCCUUCGGGGCGCGAAACUAGGUGCUGCAUGGUUGUCGUCAGCUCGUGCCGUGAGGUGUCGGCUUAAGUGCCAUAACGAGCGCAACCCUUUUCUCCAGUUACCAUCAUUAGGUUGGGGACUCUGGAGACACUGCCAUCGUAAGAUGCGAGGAAGGAUGGGAUGACGUCAAAUCAGCACGGCCCUUACGUCCGGGGCGACACACGUGUUACAAUGGGCAGGACAGAAAGGAACGAAGUGGCGACACCGAGGGAAUCUCCAAACCUGCUCCCAGUUCGGAUUGGAGUCUGCAACCCGACUCCAUGAAGCUGGAUUCGCUAGUAAUCGCGCAUCAGCCAUGGCGCGGUGAAUACGUUCCCGGGCCUUGUACACACCGCCCGUCAAGCCAUGAAAGCCGGGGGUACCUGAAGUCUGGUGUAAGCAGCCGGCCUAGGGUAAAACUGGUAAUUGGGGCU
This 668-nucleotide ribosomal RNA is filed under the name uncultured equine intestinal eubacterium sp. PL38. RNAcentral's name for it is "bacterial SSU rRNA". It matches the Rfam family "Bacterial small subunit ribosomal RNA", at positions 797 to 1482 of the family's 1533-position model. The record is from RNAcentral.